GCCAGACUCCUACGGGAGGCAGCAGUGGGGAAUAUUGGACAAUGGGGGGAACCCUGAUCCAGCGACGCCGCGUGAGUGAAGAAGUAUUUCGGUAUGCAAAGCUCUAUCAGCAGGGAAGAAAGAAAUGACGGUACCUGACUAAGAAGCCCCGGCUAACUACGUGCCAGCAGCCGCGGUAAUACGUAGGGGGCAAGCGUUAUCCGGGUUUACUGGGUGUAAAGGGGGCGCAGACGGCAAUGCAAGCCAGGAGUGAAAGCCCGGGGCCCAACCCCGGGAGUGCUCUUGGAACUGCAGGGCUGGAGUACAGGAGGGGCAGGCGGAAUUCCUAGUGUAGCGGUGAAAUGCGUAGAUAUUAGGAGGAACACCGGUGGCGAAGGCGGCCUGCUGGACUGCGACUGACGUUGAGGCCCGAAAGCGUGGGGAGCAAACAGGAUUAGAUACCCGCGUAUG
Molecule: ribosomal RNA, 450 nt
Filed under: uncultured bacterium
Lineage: Bacteria
Description: partial 16S ribosomal RNA
Rfam family: Bacterial small subunit ribosomal RNA
Source: RNAcentral